CUGUAAUAUGAUUAAGGAAAUACCGCCCCAGUCUGAUAUCCAUGACUGAUUCGGUUAUUUAGAUGAUUU
This 69-nucleotide small nucleolar RNA is filed under the name Athalia rosae (coleseed sawfly). Lineage: Eukaryota; Metazoa; Arthropoda; Insecta; Hymenoptera; Athaliidae. The record is from RNAcentral.